Molecule: long non-coding RNA, 1679 nt
Organism: Schistocerca piceifrons (Central American locust)
Lineage: Eukaryota; Metazoa; Arthropoda; Insecta; Orthoptera; Acrididae
Exons: 3
Source: RefSeq, a predicted model, not a curated record
GUAGCAACGCAGUACGUCGAGACCGAGGACAACAAACGAAGGAGGAAAAAAAACGGGUGAACCAUCACAGAAUGAUCAAAAAUUGUCGCUCAUUUUCAGCUCAGUCCUGGGACAACUGAUUGAGACAGUUGUAAUUCCUGAAAUCCAUCGCCCGUGGCCUCUGGCCUGCUGAGGAGCACCGGAGUCCUGGGUCCAUGGAUAAACCAUAAAAAUCUGCUGCAAUACACCAUGAAGUGCCUCGAGAAUUUUGGAGUAAAUUCUAGAGACACUCGGUCUUCCACCGUCUCGAACACAAGAUAUUUUAAGUAUGAGUGUGGCACAGUGGAGAUGUGUCUAUUGCGUCAACAGUUUUUGUGUGUGCAGGAUGGAUGUGUAUUAGGAGAAUACUGCAAUCGUGGCAGUUGAUCAGCGCAGACUAGUGUUUGCGCUCACGCCAUAGAAUCUGUAUGUGACUUACAAGGAGCAAGCACACAUUAUUCUUUGACGUUAUAAUGAUUGUAAUCGUUAUGAACAAAUAAAAUGUGAUUUGACAAGAGACUUUUAAUUCAGGUGUUAGACUUGCUAGAAGCAAGAGCUGUUCUUUGAAUUUCCGAGUGGUUCUAAAACCAAACUUGUUUGUAAAUGUUAAUUAAGUGUGUUUCUAAAGCUCGAAGUACGAGUGAAAUACAAGAAGAUGGAGAUAUUUAUGUCUAAGAAGAUAAUUUUAUGGUGUAUUAAUACAUCAUGAAUUGCCUACUUAUUUAACAAGGACGACAAGCCAACUUUACACGUUCUGUCGCCAAACCGUUAGAACGUGGCGACCGACGUGACCAGGACUCGAAGAAAGAGGAAUUUUAAAACGAAAUAAAGAUGAUAAAAUAUUGUGAGUUGCCAUAGCAACCAAUAGUAACAAGACAAACAAAUUGUUUCACAGAGUUGGAUUCUGCAUAAACGGCAAAAAGUGUGAAAGUUGAUGAAUACCAGACAAAAGAAGAUGUAAGGAAUCUCAACAAUUUACACUAAGAAGAGUUACGACGAAACCUAUUUGAUGACAAGGAUCCAGUGUGGAGAGUAAGCAGCCCUCAUACACAUUGCAGGGGCGUGGAUGCAGUAACCAGCAACUGACGCCAACGGCGCCAACUGCUGCUCAAACUAACCUUCGAUGCUGCCGGCACCCGUGCUGUUCACUGGCACCGAUUUCACACCUGCUCAUCGACGCAGCCUAAGACUCUACGCAAGGUUCCACCAGGGACACCAGCUGCACUUCCAAACAGGGCGCACUCCAGGAAACUGGCAGCACUGAUAUCUAAGAACAAAUACCAUCUGCACAUCUUGGGGAUGGAAACAUACCACCUCCUGCUGGAUACAUAUGGCCAGGCACUGUCUGCAGGAGGCUAGUUCCAAUCAAGAGUUCCAGCUGGGGUUCCAGUCCCAGUACAGUACAGUGCAGUGCAAUCGCUGAGACAAGCCAGGACACUCCGCUCUGCUCCGCACUGUCGUCAUGCCUACCCCACACAUGGUGUACCCCCUCUCGGUCUCUGCCCUACAGCCAUAUGGGAUGGAACUUCCCACUGAUCUUUUACUAUGACAGUAAACUUUGUGUUUGUUAAUUCAAUGAUCACAAAUAAUCUUUCAGUUGUUUUGGUGCAACUUUCAUUGUGACUUUGUGCAGUUAAUAAAGUGUUUGUAGUACAACUUCA